This 484-nucleotide ribosomal RNA is filed under the name uncultured bacterium. RNAcentral describes it as "partial 16S ribosomal RNA". It matches the Rfam family "Bacterial small subunit ribosomal RNA", at positions 29 to 507 of the family's 1533-position model. The record is from RNAcentral.
AGUGAACGCUGGCGGCAGGCCUAACACAUGCAAGUCGAGCGGAUGAAGGGAGCUUGCUCCUGGAUUCAGCGGCGGACGGGUGAGUAAUGCCUAGGAAUCUGCCUGGUAGUGGGGGAUAACGUCCUGAAACGGGCGCUAAUACCGCAUACGUCCUGAGGGAGAAAGUGGGGGAUCUUCGGACCUCACGCUAUCAGAUGAGCCUAGGUCGGAUUAGCUAGUUGGUGGGGUAAAGGCCUACCAAGGCGACGAUCCGUAACUGGUCUGAGAGGAUGAUCAGUCACACUGGAACUGAGACACGGUCCAGACUCCUACGGGAGGCAGCAGUGGGGAAUAUUGGACAAUGGGCGAAAGCCUGAUCCAGCCAUGCCGCGUGUGUGAAGAAGGUCUUCGGAUUGUAAAGCCCUUUAAGUUGGGAGGAAGGGCAGUAAGUUAAUACCUCGCUGUUUUGACGUUACCCAAAGAAUAAGCACCGGCUAACUUCGUG